This 72-nucleotide transfer RNA is filed under the name Phrynosoma platyrhinos (Desert horned lizard). Its description in RNAcentral is "tRNA-OTHER". The record is from RNAcentral. Lineage: Eukaryota; Metazoa; Chordata; Lepidosauria; Squamata; Phrynosomatidae.
GCCAGCAUGACAUAGUGGUUUGAGUAUUGGACUGUGACUCUGGAGACCAGGGUUCAAAUCCCCGCCUAGCCA